Molecule: ribosomal RNA, 2688 nt
Filed under: Triticum aestivum (bread wheat)
Lineage: Eukaryota; Viridiplantae; Streptophyta; Magnoliopsida; Poales; Poaceae
Description: partial small subunit ribosomal RNA
Source: RNAcentral
AUGAUUCGAUCUAGGGUUAGUGGUUCGCGGAAUGGGGGUGCUUCUGGAGGUUCCUUCAAGGGUUUGGACUCCGAGCCGGGGAUGUACGGACAUGGAGGGGGCUUUAAUCCACACUUCCGUCAUGCCGCACCACCGCCGCCUCCGCCGCUGUCGCAGCAACCGCUGCCGCCUCCACCGCCUCGACCACAAGCUGGGGUGACGGCUGGCUUCCUUCAGCAGUCACUACCACCGCCACCGCCGUUGGCGCAGUACCCGCAGACCCCUGCAAUGCGUCCACCGCCUGGGCAGUACCAGCAUGGCAUGCUGCCACAUCAGAAUCAGGCCUAUCCCUAUGCCCAUCUCGGUCAGAUGCACCACAUGCCAAUGCUCCCACAUCAGAGGGGUUUUGGGCAUAUGCAAAUGCCUGGGCCGCCGCAAGCCAUGUAUCAGCCCCCUCCGCAGUAUCCCAUGCCAGUGCCUCUCCCUCCACCACCACCGCGGCCACCAAGCAUUGCUCCAGAUAACCUGCCACCUCCACCCCCGCCACCAUCUUCUCCCCCUCUCAUGCCUCCGUCACCACCAGCUGCUCCAGCAACUGCAGAGUCAUGUGCAGAGACAGAAGGAAAGGAAGGUGCCACAGAUGGUGGUCAUGAAGGCAAAAGUGAGAAAGAAGCAACUGAAUUAAUUGUAUCUGAUGACUCGGAUAUGGAUAUGGGUGGAGAUGAGGACUCACCAUCAAGGGUUCAUCUGAGCGUUGUCAAUUCUUCGCCUGCUGCUGCUGAAUGCUCUGGAGAUAAUAAUACUGUUAAUGUGCCAAAGGCUGUUAAUGACAUGUCCAACCUUGGCAGUGAUUUGGCACCUGGCAGCAGUGGGAAGGCUAAAACUGGAAAUGUGUCUGUCGAAGCUGGGAGCCAGUUGCACUUAAUACAACAAGAUUAUGCCUCAGAUGAUAGCGAGGACGAGGAGGAGCAUACUCGUGCUUCCAGCAACCCUCUGCUGCCUGAAGAUAAUGAGCCGAAUCAAUCAAGUGAUAUAAACACUGAAAUUGGUCAUCAGCAGGUUACUUAUGCAGAGGAAAAUGUGAAUGCGGCUCCUUGCCUUCAGCAGAAUUAUGAGCCUAGAAUGCAUCAGCUUAAGGAUGAGAGAAGCCCAAUAAAUCACAACUCAGAUGAGCCGGGGCAGCCAGUCACAGAAAGUUUAAGUGGCAGUGAGUCUGCUGGAAGGCAACAUAGUGAAAGGCAUGGGAGGAUCCAGACAAAACGAAUUCGUAGCCAGUCACCUAUAGCAAGGAGGAGCUGUAGCCCUUCCGGAGAGAACAAGCACAGUCCAUCCCAAAGUUCAUCACAUGAAAGGCAAACCAGGUCACCACUUGCUAAGCGGGCUAAUCUUCAUCAGAGCAAAUCACCACACCAUGUGAGUUUGCUACCAGGACAACCACCAGUUGCAAGUUCAGAACCCCACAUGCAGUUUCAGCCAAAUGCUAUGGCACCAUCAAAUGAUUUCCUGCAGAAUCAGAUAAGAACCUAUCCUGCACCAGAUCUUUCUCAUCCUAGGCCAUUGGAUUUCCAUCCUCAUGCUCCCCAGCCAGCUCUUCCUUCUCAACAGCAGCCUGCUGCCUUCCACAAUGAUGAGUUUAAAAGCCCCUUUUCCCUCGACAAUGCACCAGUUCUUCUUCCAGAUGGACGACCAGAAUUUUCUGCUGGUGUAGGCCUAUCUUAUUCAAGUCAUCAAUCUUCAUAUAACCAGCAACAGCCUCCUCCUGGCAGUUUGGCUUCAGGAGCUAACAUAGCUUACCCAUCUUUCCAGAUAUUUCCAUCAAAUCUGCCAGGAAGUAGUGACUUGGGUCCUGUACCUAUAUCUGACAUUGUUCUGCCUAAAUCGUCUAUCAAGCCACACUACAACCCAUUUGCAUCUACCUUUGAAACAGAUCCGACUCUUGAUAUUAGUCCUAUUCAAAGUCCAAAUGCAGUUGAGUCUGCUUCAGCAAAAGCAGUAGAGCUCAUGAAUACAACUAGUCCUUUUGGUCAGUCUGUUCCUGGAUCUGGAACUCGUUUCAACGAAAGUUCUGCAGAAGUUGUGCCCAGUCGGCAGAAACAACCUUGUCCUGGCUUUACUCCUAUGGGUCCCUAUGAUCCACUUCUGGAUAGUAUUGAACCCUCAAGCAAUUCAAUCAACAAGAUGGAUCUUGGUCAAGAGGCGAAUCUGAGUGCCACUGGUAGUCGCAAUGCAUCAAAACUUGUGAACAUAGAAGUGGAGAGUAAAAAUAUGCAUGGACUCGGGCUUGUUGCCGAAUCAGAAGUUGUAGAACUUGGAGAGGUGGCAGCAGAUACUGAAACAGGUGUGGUGGAGAAUGUAAGUCCUGAGCCCUUAGGUGCUAAAGACUGGAGCUCAGAUAUUCCUGGUGAUAUCGACAAUGACCAGUCAUUGGAUGUAAGUAAGAAGAGUAAGGACUCCAGAUCAAUGAAGCUUUUUAAGGUUGCUAUUGCAGAUUUCGUUAAAGAAGUUCUUAAGCCAUCAUGGAGGCAGGGAAACAUGAGCAGAGAGGCUUUCAAAAUGAUUGUUAAGAAAACAGUUGAUAAGGUCUCUAGUUCGGUUCCUGGCAAUCAUAUACCGAAAACACCAGCCAAGAUUAGACAGUAUGUCCAGUCUUCUCAAAGGAAAGUGACCAAACUAGUAAUGGGUUAUGUUGACAAGUAUGUGAAGUUAUAG